CACCCGCCGAGCUUAA
RNAcentral lists this ribosomal RNA (16 nucleotides) under Ophiopogon clavatus. RNAcentral's name for it is "partial 26S ribosomal RNA". Lineage: Eukaryota; Viridiplantae; Streptophyta; Magnoliopsida; Asparagales; Asparagaceae. The record is from RNAcentral. RNAcentral also lists the same sequence under 1 other name.